This 371-nucleotide long non-coding RNA is filed under the name Homo sapiens (human). RNAcentral describes it as "HSALNT0313235". The record is from RNAcentral. Lineage: Eukaryota; Metazoa; Chordata; Mammalia; Primates; Hominidae.
UAUUAAUCCAACAUCAGCAGCAUGUUUUCAGAGAUGGACAGGACUCCUAGAAUGGGGGAAUGAGCAACUGAAGACUUAUGCGUUAAAUCCCCACCAAAUGGAAAAUGCCAACUGCUAUCACAUAGACCUCGGAGAAGGAAGACCUGGGGACUGAACUCUGGUCUCUGUUCUUCAUUCUGCAUUUCUUCCUGAGGGGCCUGGAGAGAAUCACACCCUUGGGCCAAACCAAUGUCUAACCUCCAUGUAUUGAUUUAUGAUUUUUCCUACAACUUCUGCUCUCCUGGAAUUGUCUGGCUUUCCUGCACUGGGCAAGAAGACCCCAGUUUGGUUUGGUGGCAGCUGUUUAUAUAAAACUUCCUGAAAUCCCCCCA